Molecule: ribosomal RNA, 460 nt
Filed under: uncultured bacterium
Lineage: Bacteria
Description: partial 16S ribosomal RNA
Rfam family: Bacterial small subunit ribosomal RNA
Source: RNAcentral
CCUACGGGUGAGCUGCAGUGAGGAAUAUUGGUCAAUGGGCGGAAGCCUGAACCAGCCCAGUAGCGUGCGGGAUGAAGGCCCUACGGGUCGUAAACCGCUUUUGCACGGGGUUAACACCCUCCUCUAGUGGAGGUCUGCAGGUCCCGUUCGAAUAAGGUCCGCCUAAUUCGUUGCCAGCCGCCGCGGUAAUACGGAAGGACCGCGCGUAUUCUGGAUUCUUUGGGCGUAAGGGGAGCGUGGGCGAGCGUUCAAGUCAGCUGUAAAAUCGCGCGGCUCAACCGCGCCCCGCAGUUGAAACUGGGCGCCUUGAGUUCACAACAGGCAGGCGGAAUUCGUGGUGUAGCGGUGAAAUGCAUAGAUAUCACGAGGAACCCCGAUUGCGAAGGCAGCCUGCCGGGGUGCGACUGACGCUGAGGCUCGAAGGUGCGGGUAUCAAACAGGAUUAGAUACCCGAGUAGUC